CUUUGAACAUAUAUAUGUAUAUAUAUAUAGACUGUCUCUUAAAAAAUUUUUUAUUAAGUGAAGUUUUUAAAGAAAAUUAAAAUUAGCGUUAUGAAAAUUUAUUUAAAAUUUUGUAUAUUACGUUCGUGACUGUAUAAGUUUAAUCUUAUUUCUUCACUGUUGAUGUUAGAUUCAGGUCGUUAUGAUUUUACACAAGCUUUAAACAAAGCAGUCACUGAAGGCCAUUGCUACUUAAUACAUAACGGUUGAAAAAAGUACAAUAAAAAAAAUGCAGCACAGAAGAAACGUGGCAUAAUUGGAACAUCUAUAGAUGAUAUCUGACAAUUCAAUUGGGCUCCUUAGACUCAUAUACCAACAAAAUCGGUCCAGUGAGAGUAGAAAAUUUUUAUGGAUAGAUAUAAAAAAAUAAACCAUCACAAAACCAAUACCUUCUCAGCUUUUAUGGAACUAAUAUAGUAGGUACACUUCUAGACUGUAUUACUUUUUUAUUUAUCAUU
Molecule: long non-coding RNA, 497 nt
Organism: Daktulosphaira vitifoliae (grape phylloxera)
Lineage: Eukaryota; Metazoa; Arthropoda; Insecta; Hemiptera; Phylloxeridae
Exons: 3
Source: RefSeq, a predicted model, not a curated record